UACGUAGGUGGCGAGCGUUGUCCGGAAUUAUUGGGCGUAAAGGGCGCGUAGGCGGAUUCAUAAGUCUGACUUAAAAGUGCAGGGCUCAACCCUGUGAGGGGUCAGAAACUAUGGAUCUUGAGUGCAGGAGAGGAAAGUGGAAUUCCCAGUGUAGCGGUGAAAUGCGUAGAUAUUGGGAGGAACACCAGUGGCGAAGGCGACUUUCUGGACUGUGUCUGACGCUGAGGCGCGAAAGCCAGGGGAGUGAACGGGAUUAGAUACCCCGGUAAUCCUGGCCGUAAACGAUGGGUACUAGGUGUAGGAGGUAUCGACCCCUUCUGUGCCGGAGUUAACGCAAUAAGUACCCCGCCUGGGGAGUACGGCCGCAAGGUUGAA
Molecule: ribosomal RNA, 375 nt
Filed under: uncultured bacterium
Lineage: Bacteria
Description: bacterial SSU rRNA
Rfam family: Bacterial small subunit ribosomal RNA
Source: RNAcentral